RNAcentral lists this ribosomal RNA (425 nucleotides) under uncultured Bacillota bacterium. RNAcentral's name for it is "bacterial SSU rRNA". It matches the Rfam family "Bacterial small subunit ribosomal RNA", at positions 356 to 774 of the family's 1533-position model. Lineage: Bacteria; Bacillati; Bacillota. The record is from RNAcentral.
AGGGAAUCUUCCACAAUGGACGAAAGUCUGAUGGAGCAACGCCGCGUGAGUGAUGAAGGUUUUCGGAUCGUAAAACUCUGUUGUAAGGGAAGAACCAGUACGUCAGGCAAUGGACGUACCUUGACGGUACCUUAUUAGAAAGCCACGGCUAACUACGUGCCAGCAGCCGCGGUAAUACGUAGGGGGCGAGCGUUGUCCGGAAUUAUUGGGCGUAAAGGGUGCGUAGGCGGCUGAACAAGUCAGAUGUGAAAGGUUAAGGCUUAACUUUAAUAAGCAUAUGAAACUGUUCAGCUUGAGUUAAGGAGAGGGGAGUGGAAUUCCUAGUGUAGCGGUGAAAUGCGUAGAUAUUAGGAGGAAUACCAGUGGCGAAGGCGACUCUCUGGACUUAAACUGACGCUGAGGCACGAAAGCGUGGGGAGCAAACA